CCUACGGGUGGCAGCAGUGGGGAAUAUUGCACAAUGGGGGAAACCCUGAUGCAGCGACGCCGCGUGAGUGAAGAAGUAUUUCGGUAUGUAAAGCUCUAUCAGCAGGGAAGAAAAUGACGGUACCUGAUUAAGAAGCCCCGGUUAACUACGUGCCAGCCGCCGGGGUAAUACGUAGGGGGCAAGCGUUAUCCGGAUUUACUGGGGGUAAAGGGGGCGUAGACGGCAGGACAAGUCUGGAGUGAAAUGCCGGGGGUGAAACCCGGAACUGCAUUGGAAACUGUGCAGCUAGAGUGCAGGAGAGGUAAGCGGAAUUCCUGGUGUAGCGGUGAAAUGCGUAGAUAUUAGGAGGAACACCGAUGGCGAAGGCAGCUUACCGGGGUGUAACUGACGUUGAGGAGCGAAAGCGUGGGGAGCAAACAGGAGUAGAUACCCGGGUAGUC
Molecule: ribosomal RNA, 440 nt
Filed under: uncultured bacterium
Lineage: Bacteria
Description: partial 16S ribosomal RNA
Rfam family: Bacterial small subunit ribosomal RNA
Source: RNAcentral